GGACCCGUGGUCUAGUCCGGUUAUGACACUACUUUCACAGAGUAGGGGUCAGGAGUUCGAAUCUCCUCGGGUCCACCA
Molecule: transfer RNA, 78 nt
Filed under: Candidatus Aenigmatarchaeota archaeon
Lineage: Archaea; Nanobdellati; Candidatus Aenigmatarchaeota
Description: tRNA-Val
Rfam family: tRNA
About the family: Transfer RNA (tRNA) molecules are approximately 80 nucleotides in length. Their secondary structure includes four short double-helical elements and three loops (D, anti-codon, and T loops).
Source: RNAcentral